RNAcentral lists this ribosomal RNA (471 nucleotides) under uncultured Gammaproteobacteria bacterium. RNAcentral describes it as "bacterial SSU rRNA". It matches the Rfam family "Bacterial small subunit ribosomal RNA", at positions 44 to 494 of the family's 1533-position model. Lineage: Bacteria; Pseudomonadati; Pseudomonadota; Gammaproteobacteria. The record is from RNAcentral.
AGGCCUAACACAUGCAAGUCGAGCGGAAACGACUUAACUGAACCUUCGGGGGACGUUAAGGGCGUCGAGCGGCGGACGGGUGAGUAAUGCUUAGGAAGUUGCCCGGUAGAGGGGGAUAACCAUUGGAAACGAUGGCUAAUACCGCAUAAUACCUUUGGGUCAAAGUGGGGGCUCUUCGGACCUCACGCUAUCGGAUACGCCUAAGUGAGAUUAGCUAGUUGGUGAGGUAAGAGCCCACCAAGGCGACGAUCUCUAGCUGGUCUGAGAGGAUGAUCAGCCACACUGGAACUGAGACACGGUCCAGACUCCUACGGGAGGCAGCAGUGGGGAAUAUUGCACAAUGGGCGCAAGCCUGAUGCAGCCAUGCCGCGUGUGUGAAGAAGGCCUUCGGGUUGUAAAGCACUUUCAGCAGUGAGGAAGGUAGUAAGUUUAAUACGCUUAUUGCUUGACGUUAGCUGCAGAAGAAGCGCC